RNAcentral lists this ribosomal RNA (472 nucleotides) under uncultured bacterium. RNAcentral's name for it is "bacterial SSU rRNA". It matches the Rfam family "Bacterial small subunit ribosomal RNA", at positions 335 to 799 of the family's 1533-position model. The record is from RNAcentral.
ACUCCUACGGGAGGCAGCAGUGGGGAAUAUUGCACAAUGGGGGAAACCCUGAUGCAGCCAUGCCGCGUGUGUGAAGAAGGCCUUCGGGUUGUAAAGCACUUCAGUAGGGAGGAAGGUAGUGUAGUUAACACCUGCACUAUUUGACGUUACCUACAGAAGAAGCACCGGCUAACUCCGUGCCAGCAGCCGCGGUAAUACGGAGGGUGCGAGCGUUAAUCGGAAUUACUGGGCGUAAAGCGCAUGCAGGCGGCCUGUUAAGUCAGAUGUGAAAGCCCGGGGCUUAACCUCGGAAUUGCAUUUGAAACUGGCAGGCUAGAGUCUUGUAGAGGGGGGUAGAAUUUCAGGUGUAGCGGUGAAAUGCGUAGAGAUCUGAAGGAAUACCAGUGGCGAAGGCGGCCCCCUGGACAAAGACUGACGCUCAGAUGCGAAAGCGUGGGGAGCAAACAGGAUUAGAUACCCUGGUAGGAUAGCG